RNAcentral lists this ribosomal RNA (399 nucleotides) under uncultured bacterium. RNAcentral's name for it is "bacterial SSU rRNA". It matches the Rfam family "Bacterial small subunit ribosomal RNA", at positions 28 to 429 of the family's 1533-position model. The record is from RNAcentral.
GACGUACGCUGGCGGCGUGCUUAACACAUGCAAGUCGAGCGGUAAGGCCCUUUCGGGGGUACACGAGCGGCGAACGGGUGAGUAACACGUGGGUGACCUGCCCUCAGCUCUGGGAUAAGCCUGGGAAACCGGGUCUAAUACCGGAUAUGACUCCAUGACGCAUGUUGUGGGGUGGAAAGCCUUGUGCGGCUGAGGAUGGGCCCGCGGCCUAUCAGCUUGUUGGUGGGGUGANGGCCUACCAAGGCGACGACGGGUAGCCGGCCUGAGAGGGCGACCGGCCACACUGGGACUGAGACACGGCCCAGACUCCUACGGGAGGGCAGCAGUGGGGAAUCUUGCGCAAUGGGCGAAAGCCUGACGCAGCGACGCCGCGUGAGGGAUGACGGCCUCGGUUGUAAC